GAUGAACGCUGGCGGCGUGCCUAAUACAUGCAAGUCGAGCGAACAGACGAGGCGCUUGCUCGUUCGACGUUAGCGGCGGACGGGUGAGUAACACGUAGGUAACCUACCUAUAAGACUGGGAUAACUUCGGGAAACCGGAGCUAAUACCGGAUAAUAUUUCGAACCGCGUGGUUCGAUAGUGAAAGAUGGCUUUGCUAUCACUUAUCGAUGGACCUGCGCCGUAUUAGCUAGUUGUUAAGGUAACGGCUUACCAAGGCAACGAUACGUAGACGACCUGAGAGGGUGAUCGGCCACACUGGAACUGAGACACGGUCCAGACUACUACGGGAGGCAGCAGUAGGGAAUCUUACGCAAUGGGCGAAAGCCUGACGGAGCAACGCCGAGUGAGUGAUGAAGGUCUUCGGAUCGGAAAACUCUGUUAUUAGGGAAGAACAAACGUGUAAGUAAAUGUGCACGUCUUGACGGUACCUAAUCAGAAAGCCACGGCUAACUACGUG
This 497-nucleotide ribosomal RNA is filed under the name uncultured bacterium. Its description in RNAcentral is "partial 16S ribosomal RNA". It matches the Rfam family "Bacterial small subunit ribosomal RNA", at positions 28 to 507 of the family's 1533-position model. The record is from RNAcentral.